ACACGACCGAUCGUCUUACCCCUACUACUUUGUGACGGACCAACGUCUCCCCACUCCCCGCGCCGACAGAUCAGUCGCGUCACGCACCAGGAGACGUUCAGCCUAAUUCGUGACAGUGUCAUCGUGCCAACUGGCUGACAUCAAUUAAAUAAAGAUUCUGACACAUGUCAAGGUCGUUCCAACUAGCACCUCAACAACACAUUGUCUUCUGGCACCGAUACGAUACUUUACAUAAACCGUGGUAAGAUCUAUCGAUCAUUUACAAGCUCAAUUAUCGAAACAACAACAGCAUACAAUGUUGUGUAAUGUACCAGCUGUCAGCCAGAAGUUUAAUCAUUCAUUUAACACGUUUGGAUUUAAAUGACAGAAACUUGUGACUAUCACGUGGUACACUCGUGUCAAUCUUCAGUAUACUCUCGAAUUGUGAAAUACAUUCUUAUAAAAAUCUUUGAUAGAUUGUUCGAAUUUUAUUUAGGCUACGUAGUUUCAGAUGUUUUCAAUGUGCUUAUGUAUCCAAAAACGAUACUUACGCUAUAAGCAUAUAUUUUAAUCUCUAACGAUCAAAUUUUAAAAGGGUGGAAUUUUUAGAAUGCUGAUUAACCCCUGUUCGGAUAGGUGGUUAAUUUUAACCCUUAGCUUUUACGAUAAUCGCUAUUAAUAGUAUACUGACAAAUUUAUAUAAUUAUAAUUGUUAGGUUUAUUAACUGUUAUAUUUUUUAAUAAUAUUAAAAUAAAAUUUGCAUGGGAUGAAAUUGUGGCUACGGUAAAUUUUAAGGGUGAAUACUUUAUAUUUGUGUUUGCGAGGUUUAAACAUUUAAUGAAAUUAAUUAUGUAAAUUUUAAAAUUUAGGCUUAAUUUUAACAAUUGGUACGACUCCCCGAAAUCCGAAGAGGGGUUAAAACACAUUCGGGUACAACGUAGGAUUCUCUUAGAUAAAAAUACAUGUUCGAGGAGUUUCAUCAUUUGGCUUCCAUUUUGAAAAAUUAAGUACGUAAACAAGAAACUUUAAAAAUCUGAAAAUUUAGAAAUUUAAAGGUUAAA
This 1041-nucleotide unclassified non-coding RNA is filed under the name Megachile rotundata (alfalfa leafcutting bee). RNAcentral's name for it is "integrator complex subunit 12-like, transcript variant X2". Lineage: Eukaryota; Metazoa; Arthropoda; Insecta; Hymenoptera; Megachilidae. The record is from RNAcentral.